RNAcentral lists this ribosomal RNA (758 nucleotides) under Escherichia coli. Its description in RNAcentral is "partial 23S ribosomal RNA". It matches the Rfam family "Bacterial large subunit ribosomal RNA", at positions 2049 to 2806 of the family's 2925-position model. The record is from RNAcentral. Lineage: Bacteria; Pseudomonadati; Pseudomonadota; Gammaproteobacteria; Enterobacterales; Enterobacteriaceae.
CGCUGUGAAGAUGCAGUGUACCCGCGGCAAGACGGAAAGACCCCGUGAACCUUUACUAUAGCUUGACACUGAACAUUGAGCCUUGAUGUGUAGGAUAGGUGGGAGGCUUUGAAGUGUGGACGCCAGUCUGCAUGGAGCCGACCUUGAAAUACCACCCUUUAAUGUUUGAUGUUCUAACGUUGGCCCGUAAUCCGGGUUGCGGACAGUGUCUGGUGGGUAGUUUGACUGGGGCGGUCUCCUCCUAAAGAGUAACGGAGGAGCACGAAGGUUGGCUAAUCCUGGUCGGACAUCAGGAGGUUAGUGCAAUGGCAUAAGCCAGCUUGACUGCGAGCGUGACGGCGCGAGCAGGUGCGAAAGCAGGUCAUAGUGAUCCGGUGGUUCUGAAUGGAAGGGCCAUCGCUCAACGGAUAAAAGGUACUCCGGGGAUAACAGGCUGAUACCGCCCAAGAGUUCAUAUCGACGGCGGUGUUUGGCACCUCGAUGUCGGCUCAUCACAUCCUGGGGCUGAAGUAGGUCCCAAGGGUAUGGCUGUUCGCCAUUUAAAGUGGUACGCGAGCUGGGUUUAGAACGUCGUGAGACAGUUCGGUCCCUAUCUGCCGUGGGCGCUGGAGAACUGAGGGGGGCUGCUCCUAGUACGAGAGGACCGGAGUGGACGCAUCACUGGUGUUCGGGUUGUCAUGCCAAUGGCACUGCCCGGUAGCUAAAUGCGGAAGAGAUAAGUGCUGAAAGCAUCUAAGCACGAAACUUGCCCCGAGAUG